Molecule: ribosomal RNA, 253 nt
Filed under: uncultured prokaryote
Description: partial 16S ribosomal RNA
Rfam family: Bacterial small subunit ribosomal RNA
Source: RNAcentral
UACGUAGGUGGCAAGCGUUGUCCGGAUUUAUUGGGUUUAAAGGGUGCGUAGGCGGCUCAUUAAGUCAGUUGUGAAAUACGGCAGCUUAACUGUCGAGGUGCAAAUGAUACUGGUGAGCUAGAGUACUGAUGAGGUAGGCGGAAUGGACGGUGUAGCGGUGAAAUGCUUAGAGAUCGUCCAGAACACCGAUAGCGAAGGCAGCUUACUAAGGAGUAACUGACGCUGAGGCACGAAAGUGUGGGGAUCAAACAGG